Molecule: transfer RNA, 71 nt
Filed under: Microtetraspora sp. NBRC 13810
Lineage: Bacteria; Bacillati; Actinomycetota; Actinomycetes; Streptosporangiales; Streptosporangiaceae
Description: tRNA-Pro
Source: RNAcentral
GGCCGCCCGAGGCGCCGGACGCCCGGCGGCCUGGAGCCGCCGGUGCCGCAUGAUCCUGCGGGCGGCGGCCG